CACCUUCAAUGGAUGGUUUUCUGGGAUGA
Molecule: non-coding RNA, 29 nt
Filed under: Homo sapiens (human)
Lineage: Eukaryota; Metazoa; Chordata; Mammalia; Primates; Hominidae
Source: RNAcentral